UAGCGUAUAUUAAAGUUGUUGCAGUUAAAAAGCUCGUAGUUGGAUUUCUGGUAGGAGCGACCGGUCCGCCCUGUUAAGGGUGUGUACUAGCGUUGUCUCUGGCCAUCCUUGGGGGAACUGCGCGGGGAGACUUGCGUUAGGGAACCCAUCGUUUACUGUGAAAAAAUUAGAGUGUUUAAAGCAGGCUUAUGCCGUUGAAUACAUUGGCAUGGAAUAAUAAGAUAGGACCGCGUGGUCGUCUUGUUGGUUUGCACCGCGGGGUAAUGAUUAAUAGGUGCAGUUGGGGGUAUUCGUAUUUAAUUGUCAGAGGUGAAAUUCUUGGAUUUAUGAAAGACGAACUUCUGCGAAAGCAUUUACCAAGGAUGUUUUCAUUAAUCAAGAACGAAAGUUAGGGGAUCGAAGAUGAUUAGAUACCAUCGUAGUCUUAACCAUAAACUAUGCCGACUAGGGAUAGGCGGUCGUUUCUUUUGACCCCGUCUGUACCUUAUGAGAAAUCAAAGUCUUUGGGUUCCGGGGGAGUAUGGCCGCAAGGCUGAAACUUAAAGGAAUUGACGGAAGGGCACCACCAGGAGUGGAGCCUGCGGCUUAAUUUGACUC
This 597-nucleotide ribosomal RNA is filed under the name uncultured marine stramenopile. Its description in RNAcentral is "SSU rRNA". It matches the Rfam family "Eukaryotic small subunit ribosomal RNA", at positions 595 to 1201 of the family's 1831-position model. The record is from RNAcentral.